UAUGGAAGCUUGCUUCCACUGGGAAGAUAGUGGGCGAACGGGUGAGUAACACGUGGGUAACCUGCCCAUAAGAGGGGGAGUAACAUCCGGAAACGGGUGCUAAUACCGCAUAGUUUUCUUGAUCGCAUGAUUGAGAAAGGAAAGACGGCCUUUGUGCUGUCGCUUAUGGAUGGACCCGCGGCGUAUUAGUUAGUUGGUGAGGUAACGGCUCACCAAGACGAUGAUACGUAGCCGACCUGAGAGGGUGAUCGGCCACAUUGGGACUGAGACACGGCCCAAACUCCUACGGGAGGCAGCAGUAGGGAAUCUUCCGCAAUGGACGAAAGGUCUGACGGAGCAACGCCGCGUGAGUGAAAGAAGGUUUUCGGAUCGUAAAACUCUGUUGUCAGAGAAGAACAAGUUGGAGAGUAACUGCUCCAGCCUUGACGGUAUCUGACCAGAAAGCCACGGCUAACUACGUGCCAGCCGCCGC
This 472-nucleotide ribosomal RNA is filed under the name uncultured bacterium. RNAcentral describes it as "bacterial SSU rRNA". It matches the Rfam family "Bacterial small subunit ribosomal RNA", at positions 70 to 518 of the family's 1533-position model. The record is from RNAcentral.